RNAcentral lists this ribosomal RNA (263 nucleotides) under uncultured Anaerolineaceae bacterium. RNAcentral describes it as "partial 16S ribosomal RNA". It matches the Rfam family "Bacterial small subunit ribosomal RNA", at positions 1106 to 1382 of the family's 1533-position model. The record is from RNAcentral. Lineage: Bacteria; Bacillati; Chloroflexota; Anaerolineae; Anaerolineales; Anaerolineaceae.
CACUGUGUGUUACAUGUGUCACACGGGACUAGCCGGUUUUAAGCCGGAGGAAGGCGAGGAUGACGUCAAGUCAGCAUGGCCUUUAUAUCUUGGGCUACACACACGCUACAAUGGUCUGUACAAUAGGUUGCCAAGCCGCGAGGCGGAGCCAAUCCUUAAAGCAGGCCUCAGUUCAGAUUGCAGGCUGCAACCCGCCUGCAUGAAGAUGGAGUUGCUAGUAACCGCAGGUCAGCUAUACUGCGGUGAAUACGUUCCCGGGUCUU